GACGAACGCUGGCGGCGUGCCUAACACAUGCCAGUCGAACGGAAAGGCCUCUUUCGGGGGGUACUCGAGUGGCGAACGGGUGAGUAACACGUGAGUAACCUGCCCUUGACUUUGGGAUAACUUCAGGAAACUGGGGCUAAUACCGGAUAGGAGCUCCUGCUGCAUGGUGGGGGUUGGAAAGUUUCGGCGGUUGGGGAUGGACUCGCGGCUUAUCAGCUUGUUGGUGGGGUAGUGGCUUACCAAGGCUUUGACGGGUAGCCGGCCUGAGAGGGUGACCGGCCACAUUGGGACUGAGAUACGGCCCAGACUCCUACGGGAGGCAGCAGUGGGGAAUAUUGCACAAUGGGUGGAAGCCUGAUGCAGCAACGCCGUGUGCGGGAUGACGGCCUUCGGGUUGUAAACCGCUUUCGCUCAUGACGAAGCUUUGUGUGACGGUAGUGGGUAAAGAAGCACCGGCUAACUACGUG
RNAcentral lists this ribosomal RNA (467 nucleotides) under uncultured bacterium. Its description in RNAcentral is "partial 16S ribosomal RNA". It matches the Rfam family "Bacterial small subunit ribosomal RNA", at positions 28 to 507 of the family's 1533-position model. The record is from RNAcentral.